UUGUUGCAGUUUGCGACUCCCGGAGCUCUAUAUAUAAUAGGAUAUAUAAUAUAAUUGUAUAUAUAAUAUCACGGCCAACAGCUCUGUGCGCCUCCGGAUGGCCGUAGCGGGGGGAGCUCUCAUAGGGAAUGGGCUUCUCUGGGUUUGUUUACCAGCGUUGCUAUGGUUUCCGGUCUUGUGUGUUCCAACGGUUUAACAGGCAGGCCCAUCUAAUGAAUCUCUGUCUAAUCAAUACUUCAUUUUGUUUAUGUCAGUUGAAUUUUGUUACAAGUUGAAUGCAAAUGAUCACUGUUAGCAUUCGAAAAGGCACAAGCUCUUACUUGACUCUUUUCAGUCUGUGUUUUUAGUUUUAUGGCACAAAAUGAUGGCAUUUGGGCUUAAAAAGCCAAACGUAUAUUUUUUUGUCUAGACCAAUUGAUUUGAAAAUAUACAAUUUCCUAAUACUUGACGCACUUCUGAUCAGAUAUUCAAGAGAUGUAAUACAAACAAACACAUUUGUACUUAUUUUUUCACCCAAUGAGAAUCGAUAAGAGAAUCGAUAAGGAAUCGGAUCGAUAAGCAGAAUCGGAAUCGUGAAAUUCUUAUCAAUUCCCAUCCCUAGGACUCGUAUACCCGUAUUUCUGAAGUUGUGGAAGAGAACGCUAUUCCAUCAGUGAAUUAGGCCAUAUUAUUUGGCCAUAAACUGAGCCAUUUGAAGUUUGAAAUUCAUGUGGUCAUGCAUCUAUCUCAUCGGAGACUACAAACGCGCUGUCAAAAUAUCAACUCGUCAGAUUCAAAUGCGCUCAUGGCUCUUAAAGGGGAUGGGAGAUGGCAAUCUCAUUGGUUUAUUGCAUGUUACGCCCAAACCACACCUACGGGUAAUUAGGCUACUUCAGACCAACCCUUUUUGGAUUUGCGCCUGGCGCAAGAGUCAUUUAUCCACCGGUAAAAUAACAACAUCGCCAUAGAACCGCCCACAAAGCUACUUGCGUUUGGCGCUUCUCACUUGCGUUUCAGACCGUUAAAAUAGGGCCGAUAGUCUUUAUGAUUCAUAAUAUCAUCCAAGGCGCACAUAGCUUUUGGCCGUGAUAUUACACAGCAAAAUCUGCAGUGUUAAAUAGUGUUAAUAUUUCAGUGUUAAUUAUUUUGAGUUGCUUAGUGUUGAUUUUGGUGUUUUUUAACACUUGCAGUGCUAAAAUAGCUCUGUGCGUGGUAUUGUUUAAGAGAGUUGAUUGUAUGCACGCGCAACAGAGUUAAUCUCAGAGUUAAUUCCAUAUCCGGUUUUAAGGCGCUCUUUUUCUUGAACGCGGCCAUUGCAGUCUUGGUGGAGAAAGGCAGCCCAGCUUCUGGCAGGGGAACAUAAUAUACUAUUUGAAAAGGUAAGGACCAGAUAUAUUUAAGUUACUCUUUAAAAAUGAGUGUUCAUACAAUAUGUGCCGCAAAUGUGUUGAAGUUGGUGGGGAUAUUAAUGCUUAUUUUGCUUUGGCUACAUUAGCUAACUAGCACCAAUUAAUGGCCGAAUGUUUCGCAAUUUCAUCAGUUAAUGAACUGGCUCUUUUUAUGUAUUUAUUUGUACUCGUUUUUUAAGUUCUAAGUAAUAAGACCGAUUUAGCAGGGCUACCCAAGCUGUAGCUAUUUAGCUGGCCAGGUUGGGUAAAUUAUCUAUGCUAAUGUGUUUUCAACAGAAGAGAAACAUGUGGUGGGUUCUGGAGGGUGCUUGAAACGUUUCUGUCGGGUAAGUAACUGCAAAGUUAGAUCAGUAAAAUAUGCAUGUUAUGGCUUGGCCGAAUUUUUAAAUGAGUGGUUUAGUAUGUUUGAUACUAUUGAACUAGGUCAAUUUGCUAUGCUAACAGUGUUUGCUACAGGAGUGUAAGGCAUGUGGUGAGGUCAAAAUUAUCAAUUAAGCAGCGAAUCUUUUGCCAGUUUAUUAGCAAAUUAAUGGUCUCCUUUUUUUGCCAUUUUUACCAGUUUAAUUUACUGUUAACGUUGUGAACAAAAUAACCAAUUGGCUAUUUAGCUGGCCAUACAGGUGAAAUUAGCUAUGGUUACUGUUUUCUACAGGAGAGUAACAGGCCUGAGGUCUGGAGGUUUCUUUCCGAAAGUUACUGCUAAGUUAAACAACUAAAAUAUGCAUGUAGUGUAUUUUUUAGCUAAUGGCAACACGACUUGCAAUUUCUGUUUAUAACUCCCGGCAAAGGAAUAAUUAAAACUUUAACAUUAUCUCCAGUUCUUUUUUUUUUAGAUGAGGCAUCAUGUUGUUGAAGGUGAAAUACCAGGGUACCAAGAAGUACAUCAGAUUGCAGUCAGGCUUCACCUAUUUGGAAUUCAUCAAUGAAGUCAAAAGCAAGCUUGGUCUUCCUGAUGCGGCAGUGGAUGAAGGCAUCCUUCUUGAACUGAUAAGAGUCCAAUCCUGACUUAUGCCUGACAGUAUGUGACAGCUUUCCAGUUGAAGAUCAUUCAUCACCAUCUUCCCUCACGGAUACCAUGUCAUACCAUGUCUUCGAGUGAUAAUGACCUCUCCAGUCGAAGAGAAUGGGGGAUUCCCGUAGACAGAAAUGUAUCCAACUUUGAAGUCAUGACAGAUCUACCACAGAGGGCUGAGGGUCAGAGGCAGCGUAAGAGAUGGUAGAAAAGGCCUCGCUAAGGAAACCUGGAAGUGAGGAUGUCCUGGAAGAGUACAAGUCAGAAAAUACGUUGAAGCACAGCACCCGGAGACACCUUGUUAACAUUCUGGCUAGCCAUAUGACUGAAAUGCAUGGGAGCACCUCUAUGAUGGGGGGAAAAACACAGGAUAUUUAUCAUGGCGCCUGAGGACCAUGUCCAGGAAGAACCGGGCGACGAGCAGUCCACAGGCAGCCACAGUGCCUCAACUACAAGAACCAAAGCGCCAAAGACCAGCCGCCACAGAGCCUCAAUAGCUUGAUGGAGAUGCUUGCAGGGAGGCAAUUUAUUUUGUUGUUCACUCUCCUGAUGAAGCAAGUGUGUUUGAGAAGAUGAAGUUGACCUUACAACAUCGCCAAGACCUAGUGCGUGACGCAGAGAUCUGCCGACGUCAGAUCUCUGCAUUUCCCAGUUUUUUAGAUGUCAAAGGACUAGUGAGUUGUGAAUUUUAUUUAAAAUCCAGUCUUCAAACUCUUGUCUUUAAUUUGGUUGGUUUCCAGUAGUUAACUAUGCUCUGACCAUUAGAGUAAUGUAUUCACAUUUGUGUAUGAUCAACAGCUGAAUCAAGACUUACUGCUGCUGUUUGGUGGUGAAACAGCAUCCAAGAUGCUUGAAAAAUGGGACACGGCAUUAAAGAACAAGGUUAUCAAAGAGGCCAAACAACUGACUCAGUCAAAAGAGCUGUGCCGACUUCUGAAUGCUGCUGAGAAACCUACGGAGAAUGAUGACACUAUUAAGUGUGCAGUGUUGGUUUUCAUUCCAAAUAGCUAGUGCUCUUUACUUUGUGCCUUCCAAGUAGAUACUGAUGACUUGUUUUGUGUUGUAUCUCCCCCCUGAUAGGCUGGGACAGUGACAUGGCUUCUCUGCUGCUGCUCCUUCAUCUCUUGCCACCCACAGCUGGACGGAAGAAGAGCAAAAUCAGUGCCAGUGAUGCAGUGGACAUUUUUUUUCAUUUUCACAAGUCGUGCUGCAGUAUUGAUGAACACCUGCGUGGGAGAAAGGGUCAACAACCGUACAUCCUUGCUGCUGGUCGCACCCAGAACAAGAUUGACACCUUCUAUAUCGUCGUUGACAAACAGUUCAUCCCCUGCCAUGCCACCAGCUUCUAAGGUGCUUUUGAUGAACUUUUCAAAUCACACUAUGUGUUCAACCUGUCAUACGAGGAGUCCCUGGUCCAGCUCUACACAUUUGUGCAGACAACAGUACUCUACAACAUCGAUGUCACAACAACAGACGAGUCUCUUGAAGAAUCCGUGAGUUGCGGGCGAAACUCCUGAACUAGGAUUAAAACAUGUUUAAGUGUUUCAUAUGUGAAGCUGUACACCAGACUGUCCAGUCCUUGGUAACCCAUUUAAGAAUUGAUCACAGUUUCUAUCCUAGCAGCAGGUUUAAGUUGGUUUGUGCACAAGAUCGUUGUAGGCGUCAGUUUUUGUCAUAUUCUAGUUUAAAAAAACAUUUAAUGAGAGUUCAUGAGGAGAGUUUUGUCAAAGUGGUGUUGCAGCAAACCCGGAGUCCUUUCAACCUAUCCAUCAGUGUCCAAAGUACUUCAGAAGUUGGUGAAACAGGUGUCCCACAGAGCUUAAAGGCUGGUUGUUUUGAGGACAAUGUAUCUGGUGUUAACAAAGAACAUACUAAAAAUAUCUGUGCUACAAUUGUUGCUAAACUUCAAGAAAGUGGUAUGGCAAAUAGUCUUGUUGCAACAAUUGUUAAUGAUUUGGAAGAACUUGCUACUGGACUGCACUCCCAAGUUAAGCAAGAAAUACUAUCUGCUGUGCCUAAAGACAAUCCUAGCCGAUCUACAUUAGAAGGUCUUGAUACUUUUGAAAAUCCAUUUGUAAGAUUGAAUACUGAAACUAAAAGAAUAAGAUAUUUCAACGAAAAAUGGGGUGUUGUUGAGCCUGUAGAAAUAAUGUUAGGACAUUGAUUCGAUACAAGGCGAAAUAAACAAACCGUUUAAGUUCAAGUAAAAUACACUUUUUUUUACGUUCCAAUUUUGGAAACGAUCCAAUUCAUGUGCCGCAAUUCUGAUAUGUGUAAAUUGCUUGGGAAAAACGUUUGUAUCGAAAACUGACAAUUUGAAGACUUUUGUGAUGGUAGUUAUUUUAAGACGCAUGCAUUGUUCUCUAAACAACGGACUUCUUUACAAAUUCAGAUGUACUAUGAUGACUUUGAAACUGCUAACCCACCGGGUUCAAAACGCGGUAUUCACAAAA
Molecule: long non-coding RNA, 4853 nt
Organism: Gadus macrocephalus (Pacific cod)
Lineage: Eukaryota; Metazoa; Chordata; Actinopteri; Gadiformes; Gadidae
Exons: 6
Source: RefSeq, a predicted model, not a curated record